CAAGUAUCACUGUCACCAAUAAGAAAUAUCAAUAGAGGAUUCAUUAAGGUUUGAUAACUUCUCUUACCAUUCCCAAGGCAUAGGGUACAUACCUCUCACAAUGUGCCUAAAUAUAGCCGUCCUCAAGUGUACUCCAGUUGUUUGAAGACUCUGUGAGCCAUAGCACUGACUAACCAGGAGAGAGCAAACAUCAAUCACCUGACUGUUUUUAGCUUGAUAAGCAAUUGAUGG
This is a non-coding RNA of Pelobates cultripes (western spadefoot toad), 231 nucleotides long. The record is from the annotation of a GenBank genome assembly. NCBI's taxonomy places the organism in Eukaryota, Metazoa, Chordata, Amphibia, Anura, Pelobatidae.